AAGACUUUAGGUUAAUUAAACUCGUAUCCUUCAAAGUUAAAAAUAAAGAUUUUGCAAAAUCUUUAAGUCUUA
RNAcentral lists this transfer RNA (72 nucleotides) under Carrikerella sp. Its description in RNAcentral is "tRNA-Trp". Lineage: Eukaryota; Metazoa; Arthropoda; Insecta; Mantodea; Thespidae. The record is from RNAcentral.